This 480-nucleotide ribosomal RNA is filed under the name uncultured bacterium. RNAcentral's name for it is "partial 16S ribosomal RNA". It matches the Rfam family "Bacterial small subunit ribosomal RNA", at positions 28 to 504 of the family's 1533-position model. The record is from RNAcentral.
GACGAACGCUGGCGGCGUGCUUAACACAUGCAAGUCGAACGCUGAAGCUCAGCUUUUGUUGGGUGGAUGAGUGGCGAACGGGUGAGUAACACGUGAGUAACCUGCCUCCUUCUUUGGGAUAACGCCCGGAAACGGGUGCUAAUACUGGAUAUUCACUGGUCUUCGCAUGGGGGUUGGUGGAAAGGGUUUUUCUGGUGGGGGAUGGGCUCGCGGCCUAUCAGCUUGUUGGUGGGGUGAUGGCCUACCAAGGCUUUGACGGGUAGCCGGCCUGAGAGGGUGACCGGUCACAUUGGGACUGAGAUACGGCCCAGACUCCUACGGGAGGCAGCAGUGGGGAAUAUUGCACAAUGGGCGCAAGCCUGAUGCAGCGACGCCGCGUGAGGGAUGGAGGCCUUCGGGUUGUGAACCUCUUUCGCUCAUGGUCAAGCCGCAACAAUGGUUGUGGUGAGGGUAGUGGGUAAAGAAGCGCCGGCUAACUAC